CCAUUUGCAAAAGCUUCUUAACUCAUCUACCUACCUUCUGUUGUGUUUCCCUCGAAUCAACUACACAGAAAAGGAAAAGUCUGCAAAAUCUGUGAAAGUGAUUUAUCUUCAGACUCUUCCUAAAAACAAGAGGCAGCCCAUUUUCUCCAGAUGACUCAUCAACUAAAGGCACAGUAGAAUGAAGUGUUCCAAUUUGAAAUACCAACAGCUAAAUAUAACCUCUUCCACAACAUCAGGAAAUUCAGUGUCUCUCUCUAGUCUAUAAGAGCAAUCUUAAGAGGUCACCUUAAUAACACAUUUAGCACAUCAUGUGAUCAGCAAGAAGGAAAACCUGGAACAAUAUACAACUUUUUACAAAAACAUUAAGCAAUA
This is a long non-coding RNA of Talpa occidentalis (Iberian mole), 372 nucleotides long. RefSeq lists it as uncharacterized. NCBI's taxonomy places the organism in Eukaryota, Metazoa, Chordata, Mammalia, Eulipotyphla, Talpidae. The transcript is spliced from 3 exons. The record is from RefSeq and is a predicted model, not a curated record.